UGAGGAAUAUUGGUCAAUGGACGCAAGUCUGAACCAGCCAAGUAGCGUGCAGGAUGACGGCCCUAUGGGUUGUAAACUGCUUUUAUAUGGGGAUAAAGUGGGGAACGUGUUCCCUUUUGCAGGUACCAUAUGAAUAAGGACCGGUUAAUUCCGUGCCAGCAGCCGCGGUAAUACGGAAGGUUCGGGCGUUAUCCGGAUUUAUUGGGUUUAAAGGGAGCGUAGGCCGUUUGGUAAGCGUGUUGUGAAAUGUAGGAGCUCAACUUCUAGAUUGCAGCGCGAACUGUCAGACUUGAGUGCGCACAACGUAGGCGGAAUUCAUGGUGUAGCGGUGAAAUGCUUAGAUAUCAUGAAGAACUCCGAUUGCGAAGGCAGCUUACGGGAGCGCAACUGACGCUGAAGCUCGAAGGUGCGGGUAUCGAACAGG
This 424-nucleotide ribosomal RNA is filed under the name Verrucomicrobiota bacterium. Its description in RNAcentral is "Verrucomicrobia bacterium partial 16S ribosomal RNA". It matches the Rfam family "Bacterial small subunit ribosomal RNA", at positions 355 to 776 of the family's 1533-position model. Lineage: Bacteria; Pseudomonadati; Verrucomicrobiota. The record is from RNAcentral.